UCAUCAUUGUGAACUCAUGUGACAGAAAGAGGAGCGUUGCACUCGGACUCAUCUGCUUCCCCAUCAAGAGAUCAGAACUAUCAGAGCCAUCUUUGAUUUUGCGAGAUCAGGCCCCCCACUUAGUGUAUUUGACAAGCUGAGUUUGACACUCUGUAUCAGUGAGUGUCAGUUUGUCAAAUACCCCAAGUGAGGUGUCACUUGUCUACAAAUUUAACCCAUCCUGGGUUACUCCACAGACUGAGCAGCCAACUCCACAGGGUGAUCUACCACAUCAAGGAACGUGAAAACACCAAGGCAACAGGCUCGAAACGCUUUUCUUGUGAAACAUUUGAGGAUAUAGACAAGGAACAAGGUUUACAGUGGUUAAAGUCGUAAUGGUGACAAAUGCUUAGUCAUUGUAUCAUCUGUUUAACUGUCUGUUAUUUGGUAAAUCAUAAGCAAAUUACUCUCAUACAUAAUUGUUGUAAUGAACAGAAAGAUUAAUUUUAUCCCAUGAGAAUCAUAUAUGUGUAUUUAAUGAAUCAACAAAGGCUUCGUAGAGAUGUUUGAAUAAGAGAGAGGUGUGUUAAUAGGUUUAUUGACCAAAAAAGCCUAACCUCUUGAACCCAAUUUUGUUUUUCAGUCUUUUUAUUGUUAGGCUUAUUAGCACUACAUAUCUCAGCCAAAGAUGCCACAUACUGUUAUUUACAGGACAGGCAAGGCUGCUCUGAAAUUCCAUCAUUAGGUAUGUGAGUGGAACUAUACAUGUUCUAGGACCAGAGUGUUUUGACACAAUUUGCAUCUAGAGGGUUACAGAGGUUAAAAAAAGGUUUUGAAACAUAUUGUUCAAAACCCAUGAGAACAACCUCAAUAUGAGAUCUGAGUGUCAUAUACAAUGAUCUGUUGCCAGGGAUGCAAAUGAGCAAACAUUAAAAUGCAUGCAUGCAUGCAUAAAUGUACCAUAUUAUACCAUCAUAUUAUAUGUAUUCACUUGCAUGUCUUGUGUAAGAGCAAAUCCAUGUCAAAUUAUCAGUUUCUACUUCAAUAAAGACUAAAGGGGUGGUCAGUCUUUUAUGAGACUGCACAUCUGUAAACUUUU
Long non-coding RNA from Siniperca chuatsi (mandarin fish), 1078 nucleotides. RefSeq lists it as uncharacterized. NCBI's taxonomy places the organism in Eukaryota, Metazoa, Chordata, Actinopteri, Centrarchiformes, Sinipercidae. The record is from RefSeq and is a predicted model, not a curated record. The transcript is spliced from 2 exons.